AGUGAACGCUGGCGGUAGGCCUAACACAUGCAAGUCGAACGGCAGCACAGUAAGAGCUUGCUCUUACGGGUGGCGAGUGGCGGACGGGUGAGGAAUACAUCGGAAUCUACUUUUUCGUGGGGGCUAACGUAGGGAAACUUACGCUAAUACCGCAUACGACCUACGGGUGAAAGCAGGGGAUCUUCGGACCUUGCGCGAUUGAAUGAGCCGAUGUCGGAUUAGCUAGUUGGCGGGGUAAAGGCCCACCAAGGCGACGAUCCGUAGCUGGUCUGAGAGGAUGAUCAGCCACACUGGAACUGAGACACGGUCCAGACUCCUACGGGAGGCAGCAGUGGGGAAUAUUGGACAAUGGGCGCAAGCCUGAUCCAGCCAUACCGCGUGGGUGAAGAAGGCCUUCGGGUUGUAAAGCCCUUUUGUUGGGAAAGAAAAGCAGCAGGUUAAUACCCCGCUGUUCUGACGUUACCCAAAGAAUAAGCACCGGCUAACUUCGUG
RNAcentral lists this ribosomal RNA (492 nucleotides) under uncultured bacterium. RNAcentral's name for it is "partial 16S ribosomal RNA". It matches the Rfam family "Bacterial small subunit ribosomal RNA", at positions 29 to 507 of the family's 1533-position model. The record is from RNAcentral.